AAUGCUUAUUUUGCUUUGGUUAUCGGAAUCAUACACCUUUCACCAUAUCUAUACCUCUAUUUUGUUAUAAAUGCAUAAUUUGUUUUUGUUUUAAUAAGUAAAUCGGUUUUCGAAUUAUAUAUCUUUUAACGAUAUAUUUCAUGGAUGUUAUAUAAAUGCUUAUUUUUCUUUGGUUAUCGGAACCAUACACCUUUCACUAUACCUAAACCUCUAUUUUAUUAUGCUUAUUUUGUUUUUGUUUCAAUAAGUAAAUAGGUUUUCAAAUUAGAUAUCUUUUAACGAUACUUAAAGUUUAUAUUUUACGAGUGUUAUAUAAAUACUUAUUUUGCUUUGGUUAUAGGAAUCAUACACCUUCCGCUAU
RNAcentral lists this long non-coding RNA (361 nucleotides) under Gossypium raimondii (Peruvian cotton). RNAcentral's name for it is "long non-coding RNA (GRAI_LNC007528)". The record is from RNAcentral. Lineage: Eukaryota; Viridiplantae; Streptophyta; Magnoliopsida; Malvales; Malvaceae.